UUUUCUUAUUUUCUAAAAAAAUAAAUGUGAAACGUUCAACAGCCCUAAAAUUGUUGAUUAACUGCACCCCUCUGUCCUGUCAAAUGUGUCUUAUAGAUCUGUUUCCCAGGCAGCAUCUGAGCAUCUGGCAAAUGGCUUUGCCAGCCGUAUGUUUUUAUUUUUCCCAAAGGGGUACCACGCCAAGGCCCCUCCUCAACUCCAAGGCCAAGACCUCAGAUCUGCACAGACGUUUGGGGAGCAAAAAGAAGCAGGCAAGACCACAAGGUUGCAAAGGAUGCAUCUAUGAGACUUCACCAUGAAUUGGAAAAUGUGGAAGAAAAGCGAACAACAAUGGAAGACGAAAAUGAGAAACUGAGGCAACAGCUCAUAGAAGUCGAGAUAGCAAAACAAGCACUGCAGAAUGAACUGGAAAAAAACGAGGGAGAACAGGGCGGAGAAAAGGUCAGAACCCAGCUUUGCCCAAGUCUUUCAGAUGGUGAGGCCUGGCAACUGACAUCACUGUGCUCUUGAAUGAUCGUCAUAACAUGUUGAUAUUCGCACCAGCACAAGAUUUGGGACAAUUUUGCUAGCAGAAAAUAUGACUCUCUUCCCUACUAGAGCCAAAUGGUCCAACCACAAGAGCAGGAUCCAUAGAAUGUGACCAGCUGUUUCGGCGGUUUUCUGUUACUAUUUGUGAAGUCUUCAUUCUUGUCAUCUGCCAGCAGAAGAGUGGUGGCAGUUGCCAGAGGUUGGAGGAAAAAAUCAUGCGAGAAUUUACAUUCGAGAAAAUUCCAUUCAUUGAUUUCAUUAUUUCUGGGAAUUCAGAAAAGACCACCAUGAUCCUUUAGCCGCGAAAAUGCUGAGGCUGGCCUUGGAAACUGCUAGGAUUCGUCGGCAGGCGCAGCUUGCUUUUGAGAAGUCCUGCCCUGUGCCAUCUUGAGGCCUGAAUAUUUUGCCUAUGUGCUAAGUUCUUGAAAUAUUAAGUAGUGCUGUGAAAUUAACACAGAAAAUGAGAAUAAUUAAAACUGGAGGAGCAGUGAUAAAUCUUGAAGUCAUCACCCUGCCACAUUGAUCCUUAUAUGUCAGUGUUUCCUGUUUUGUUUUAUCCUUCCAGUUCUUAUCAUUAUGCAGAGUUAUUAUUUUUUUUUAUUUUUAAUGCAGCAGCAAUUACAUAAAUUCUGUUUUCCUGCUUUUUCUGCUUGACGCUGCAACAUAACUAUUUUUCCAUGUUGUUAUGCAGGCCUCAUAAUCAAGUUCAUGGGCUAUAUAAUUCCCUGUGAGAUGUAUGAUCAUUUAUUUAAACCUUGCUAUUGGCUAUUUCAAUCACAUGAUGCUGUUAUAAACGGAAUGAGCAACAGUGUCAGUGGGAGUGUGAAGUGGUACAGUCCUUUUGGGAAAGCAAUUUGGCAAUGUGUAUCACAGGCCUGAAAAAUGUUCAUUGCCUUAGAGCUAGUCAUUUCUCUUCUGGGAAUUUCUCAUAAGGAAAUAAUCUAAAGUGCAGACCCGGAUUUAUGCAUCAAGAUGGAAACUUUAUGUAUCAUAGAGGAAAGCUUGAAACAACUAAAUAUUCAAACAUAGGGGAAGCAUUAUGUAAAUGAUUACAUAGCAGCUCCAUGGAAUAUUAUGCAGUCAUUAAAACUGUUUAUGAAGAGCUCAUAAAUGGAAAAUGCUGAUGUUAUGAUUGAAAUAAGUGGGAUAUAAGAUUAUAUUGUUACUAUGAUCCCAGCUGUGUAAAAUUAGUUUCCCAAGUAGGCAUAGAAAAAGAUUAGAGAGAAAUACAUCAAAAUAUUAACAGUGGGUGGAAGAUGAGGGAUUUUAUUUUUCUUGCAACUUCCCAUGUCUUAAAAUCUUUUUACUUUGUUCUGAUACAAAUUUAACACACAUUUAUUGAAUAAAAUUGCAAGCAUUAAAGAAAUAGGUGAUGGAGAAAGUCCUGUGAAAGUGUUAGCCACUCAGUCGUAUCCGGCUCUUUGUGUUCCCAUGGACUAAACCCCACCAGGCUCCUCUGUCCGUGGAAUUCUCCAGGAAGAAUACUGGAGUGGGUUGCCAUCCCCUUCUCCAGGAGAUCUUCCUGACCCAGGAAUUGAACCUAGGUCUUCUGCACUGCAGGCAGUUCUUUACCAUCUGAGCCACCAGGGAAGCCCAUGUGUAUUCUAAGACAACUUGAUUUCUACAUAAUGCAAUUUUGGGAUAGUCUGCAUUAAAGAAUCGGGAUUUUUUUUUUUAAUUAAAAAGGGGGAUGGGGACUUCCCUGGUGGUCCAGAGAUUAAGAAUCCACUUUCCAAUGCAGGGGACUGGGUUCAAUCCCUGGUCAAGGAACUAAGAUCCCACAUGGCAUGGAACAACUAAGCCCCCGUGUGCUCUAGAGUUUGUGUGCCCCAGUGACUAUCUGACACUGCCAAAUAAAUAAAUACUUUAAGAAAAGAAAAGAAAGGAGGAUGAAGUCAGCUACUAGGAAAACUCAGCACUGCUGUGUACAUUAUCAGAUAGGCAUUACUAUCAAGGUCUGAAUUUCUUGGAUGCCUUAGAUGUGAAGUAAAAUCAGUUUAUUGAUUAGGUCCUUGUUAUUCUAGAUAAUUUAUAUUGACUGAAAAUUAUUUUUUAUAAGAAAGUUAAUAGCAGUGGUUAAGACUCUGAGCUCCCUAAUGCAGAGGACACAAAUUUGAUCCCUGAUUGGGGAAAUAAGAUCCUACAUGCCGCACGGUGUGACCAAAAAAAAAAAAAAAAGCCACAGCACAUAAUGAAUUCUUCAAGAAAGGAUGAGUUACAUAGAUGAUGGUAUAUAUACAUUCAAAGGAAUGCUGCAUAGUUGUUAAAGAUAAGAAUUCUGUGUUUACUGACACUGAAAACAUAUUCAACAUGUUAAUCAAGUGAUAAAAAUUAAUCUCUCAAAUAGAAACACACUAAGAUCUUAAUUUGUAAAUAUUGUUCUGUAUCUCUCUCUUUCUCUCCCUCUCACACAAAUAGAGACAUAAUAUUCUUGAAAUGGGUUUAUCUCUAACGUGGUUAUCUCCAUGGAGGAGGAACGUGGAUGAUCAUAAUUUUAUUUUUGUUUGUUUGAAUUGUC
RNAcentral lists this long non-coding RNA (3046 nucleotides) under Capra hircus (goat). RNAcentral describes it as "lncRNA (ENSCHIG00000008112.1)". The record is from RNAcentral. Lineage: Eukaryota; Metazoa; Chordata; Mammalia; Artiodactyla; Bovidae.